UACGGGGGGGGCAAGCGUUGUUCGGAAUUACUGGGCGUAAAGGGCUCGUAGGCGGCCAACUAAGUCAGACGUGAAAUCCCUCGGCUUAACCGGGGAACUGCGUCUGAUACUGGAUGGCUAGAGGUUGGGAGAGGGAUGCGGAAUUCCAGGUGUAGCGGUGAAAUGCGUAGAUAUCUGGAGGAACACCGGUGGCGAAGGCGGCAUCCUGGACCAAUACUGACGCUCAUGCACGAAAGCGUGGGGAGCAAACAGG
This 253-nucleotide ribosomal RNA is filed under the name uncultured bacterium. RNAcentral's name for it is "partial 16S ribosomal RNA". It matches the Rfam family "Bacterial small subunit ribosomal RNA", at positions 524 to 776 of the family's 1533-position model. The record is from RNAcentral.